AAUAAAUUUUCACACAAAAAAAAAACAACAACCUUACAACAAAUGUGAAAAGGGCUCCCUAGGAGUACCUAGGAUGCUUUGGGUGCAUAACACCUUCCCAUUGCAUAACCAACCCCCUUACCCAGAUCUCUGGCAUUUUUACUAGUUUUUGAUUCAAUAAAACUUUUAGGUUUUUGUUCGCUUUCUAACCAUUCCUUUGGAUAAAUAGAAGUGCG
This 215-nucleotide long non-coding RNA is filed under the name Lathyrus oleraceus (garden pea). RNAcentral's name for it is "Pisum sativum (pea) long non-coding RNA (PSAT_LNC016072)". The record is from RNAcentral. Lineage: Eukaryota; Viridiplantae; Streptophyta; Magnoliopsida; Fabales; Fabaceae.